This 253-nucleotide ribosomal RNA is filed under the name uncultured prokaryote. RNAcentral describes it as "partial 16S ribosomal RNA". It matches the Rfam family "Bacterial small subunit ribosomal RNA", at positions 524 to 776 of the family's 1533-position model. The record is from RNAcentral.
UACGGGGGGAGCAAGCGUUGUUCGGAAUUACUGGGCGUAAAGGGCGCGUAGGCGGCACGGCAAGUCAGGAGUGAAAGGCCUGGGCUCAACCGAGGAACUGCUUUUGAGACUGCCGAGCUAGAGUGCAGAAGGGGCAACUGGAAUUCCCAGUGUAGCGGUGAAAUGCGUAGAUAUUGGGAAGAACACCUGAGGCGAAGGCGGGUUGCUGGGCUGACACUGACGCUGAGGCGCGAAAGCCAGGGGAGCAAACGGG